RNAcentral lists this long non-coding RNA (854 nucleotides) under Pan troglodytes (chimpanzee). RNAcentral describes it as "long non-coding RNA NONPTRT000390". Lineage: Eukaryota; Metazoa; Chordata; Mammalia; Primates; Hominidae. The record is from RNAcentral.
GAAAAAUUGUGUUCGUUGAGAGAAAAUGGAAGGCUUUUCAUUCUACUUCCACAUUUUCAUUCCAGCAGCUUUUCUGUUUUGGAAGGUUCUUAUGCCUUUGUUUGAAAAACAUGGUUCCCUGUGAAAUUUUACAUGUAGAAGACAGCUUCACACUACGAGAGCUCUCAGGAUAUAAUUAUUUCAGACAGAUGCUGGGAACAUAAGAUGGCUUAUCAAUCUAAGAUGGCCUUCCUGUCCUUCGGAUUGAACUGAAACCAUCCCUGAUUCCAGGGAUAGGUAGAUGAUCCAGGUUUGGACAAUCGAAAUAUUGAACCACCCUGGACCUACAAGUGUUUCUGGGAUGGGAACGUGCAAACGUUGGUCCAAAUUGUUGUUCUAGGCAGCCCAGUACAUUUCUCCAAUGCCUGAUGGAAUGAUAGGGUACGCAUAAAUGUUCAUGUGGGCUCUGGAGUAUACCAGGAACUGAAGUAAGGUACAUGGACGUCUUGAAUAUUGUAACUGAGAUGGGCAAGCCUACACCUUUGCAAAUAAAGGAGGAUUGGGAAAGAUUAAGGUACUUCCUAAGCGUGGCUACUCCAAUGAAGCUUUAGUAUAUGUACUGAAAGAAGAUCCUCUCAUACUGCCACAGCCAACAGAUAAGGUUGUAAAUCUUUAUUGGGAGAAGCCGUCAAGGACAGUUCUGUGAAAUGAAAGGAUCUCUGGAUCACCACAAAGUCUGGCUCAGUGACUAUGGCUUUGCUAACACUAAACAUUCCUAUCUCAAGUCCUGUAGAUGGCUUGAAAUAGUAUACAUAAGCAUGCCUUAUAAACAUCUUCAGUCUUUAUCAACUCUUUGGAGAUUCAGCCAUUCUUUU